This 291-nucleotide ribosomal RNA is filed under the name uncultured bacterium. RNAcentral describes it as "partial 16S ribosomal RNA". It matches the Rfam family "Bacterial small subunit ribosomal RNA", at positions 9 to 293 of the family's 1533-position model. The record is from RNAcentral.
GAGUUUGAUCGUGGCUCAGGACGAACGCUGGCGGCGUGCCUCAUACAUGCAAGUGGAGCGACGAACCAGGCUUCGGCCUGGGGCAAAGCCGCGAACGGGUGAGUAACACGUGGGUCACCUGCCCCGAUGAUUGGGACAACCCGAGGAAACUCGGGCUAAUACCAAAUGUGCUCCUGGCCGUGAUGGCCAGGUGGAAAGGAAGCUUCGGCCUCCGCAUCGGGAUGGGCCCGCGGCCCAUUAGCUAGUUGGUGGGGUAAUGGCCUACCAAGGCGACGAGUGGGUAGCUGGUCU